Molecule: ribosomal RNA, 594 nt
Filed under: uncultured bacterium
Lineage: Bacteria
Description: bacterial SSU rRNA
Rfam family: Bacterial small subunit ribosomal RNA
Source: RNAcentral
GGUUGGUAAGGUAACGGCUUACCAAGGCUAUGAUGUUUAGGGGUCCUGAGAGGGUGGUCCCCCACACUGGUACUGAGACACGGACCAGACUCCUACGGGAGGCAGCAGUGAGGAAUAUUGGUCAAUGGGCGCAAGCCUGAACCAGCCAUCCCGCGUGCAGGAAGACGGCCCUAUGGGUUGUAAACUGCUUUUCCAGGGAGAGAAACUUACGCACGUGUUGCGUGACUGACGGUACCCUGGGAAUAAGCAUCGGCUAACUCCGUGCCAGCAGCCGCGGUAAUACGGAGGAUGCAAGCGUUAUCCGGAUUCAUUGGGUUUAAAGGGUGCGUAGGCGGGCCAUUAAGUCAGUGGUGAAAUCCUGCAGCUUAACUGCAGAACUGCCGUUGAUACUGAUAGUCUUGAGUUUGGUUAAGGUAGGCGGAAUGUGUAAUGUAGCGGUGAAAUGCUUAGAUAUUACACAGAACACCAAUUGCGUAGGCAGCUUACUGAGCCGACACUGACGCUGAGGCACGAAAGCGUGGGGAUCAAACAGGAUUAGAUACCCUGGUAGUCCACGCCGUAAACGAUGAUUACUCGCUGUUGGCGAUACACUGU